GAAUCUUAGACAAUGGGCGCAAGCCUGAUCUAGCCAUGCCGCGUGUGUGAUGAAGGCCCUAGGGUCGUAAAGCACUUUCGCCAGGGAUGAUAAUGACAGUACCUGGUAAAGAAACCCCGGCUAACUCCGUGCCAGCAGCCGCGGUAAUACGGAGGGGGUUAGCGUUGUUCGGAAUUACUGGGCGUAAAGCGUACGUAGGCGGAUCAGAAAGUUGGGGGUGAAAUCCCAGGGCUCAACCCUGGAACUGCCUCCAAAACUCCUGGUCUUGAGUUCGAGAGAGGUGAGUGGAAUUCCAAGUGUAGAGGUGAAAUUCGUAGAUAUUUGGAGGAACACCAGUGGCGAAGGCGGCUCACUGGCUCGAUACUGACGCUGAGGUACGAAAGUGUGGGGAGCAAACAGG
RNAcentral lists this ribosomal RNA (400 nucleotides) under uncultured bacterium. Its description in RNAcentral is "bacterial SSU rRNA". It matches the Rfam family "Bacterial small subunit ribosomal RNA", at positions 359 to 776 of the family's 1533-position model. The record is from RNAcentral.